Molecule: ribosomal RNA, 331 nt
Filed under: uncultured bacterium
Lineage: Bacteria
Description: bacterial SSU rRNA
Rfam family: Bacterial small subunit ribosomal RNA
Source: RNAcentral
CGCGUAGGCGGUUUGUACAGUCAGAUGUGAAAUUCCUGGGCUUAACCUGGGGGCUGCAUUUGAUACGUAUGGACUUGAGUGAGGAAGAGGGUCGUGGAAUUCCCAGUGUAGAGGUGAAAUUCGUAGAUAUUGGGAAGAACACCGGUGGCGAAGGCGGCGACCUGGUCCUUGACUGACGCUGAGGCGCGAAAGCGUGGGGAGCAAACAGGAUUAGAUACCCUGGUAGUCCACGCUGUAAACGAUGUGUGCUGGAUGUUGGGUGACCUAGUCACUCAGUGUCGUAGCUAACGCGCUAAGCACACCGCCUGGGGAGUACGGCCGCAAGGUUGAA